GUCAUUCUGAGUGUUUAUGUGAACACAACGGAUGUAUUUUUCCUUUCCUUUCUGUAUUGUUACAAAUUUGACGAAGGAAUUUAGAAUAAAAGCCUAGAUUGUUCGAGCUCAAACCAUCAUCUGCCAUCAAAAUAUAAAAUCAGCCGGACAUACGCUCAAAAGCAGUGAUGAAACAAUUUUUGAUAGCUCUCAGCAUCGUUAUUAUUGCUGUCGGAUCCGAAGGAAAAGAUACGGAAGAGAUGCCAUUUGGUACAUCAUGUAAGUUCGGCUUGUGUAGCCUCAGUUGUAAAGCCAACGACUACGCUGAUGGUGGCUGUUGCGGGACGACAAAGUGGUGUGAAGAUAUUUGCUAUUGUUACGGGAGUGGGUUCGAAUAUCGCUGUGAUGCUUGCUACUAACAACAAACGGGGCAUCUUUUGGUUACAUCCAAGUGUACCAAAUAAGUGCCAUACCUGCCAAUUGUCGAUUUAUUGUCGUUCUGUAUCUGUAGGCAACAGCA
This is an RNA transcript of Mya arenaria, 499 nucleotides long. It is a transcript of the gene named defensin gallicin-like, with no coding region annotated. Lineage: Eukaryota; Metazoa; Mollusca; Bivalvia; Myida; Myidae. The record is from RefSeq and is a predicted model, not a curated record. The transcript is spliced from 6 exons.